RNAcentral lists this ribosomal RNA (495 nucleotides) under uncultured bacterium. RNAcentral describes it as "bacterial SSU rRNA". It matches the Rfam family "Bacterial small subunit ribosomal RNA", at positions 31 to 518 of the family's 1533-position model. The record is from RNAcentral.
GAACGCUAGCGACAGGCCGUAACACAUGCAAGUCAGGGGCGAGCACAAGGAGCAAUCUGAGGUGGCGACCGGCGGCACGGGUGAGUAACACGUAUGCAACCUGCCUGUAAGCGGGGAAUAACCCGUUGAAAGACGGACUAAUACCGCAUAAUACUAAAUUACUGCAUGGUAAUUUAUUUAAACAUUAUUUGGCUUACAGAUGGGCAUGCGCAUGAUUAGCUAGUUGGAGAGGUAACGGCUCCCCAAGGCAACGAUCAUUAGGGGUUCUGAGAGGAAGGUCCCCCACACUGGUACUGAGACACGGACCAGACUCCUACGGGAGGCAGCAGUGAGGAACAUUGGUCAAUGGACGAGAGUCUGAACCAGCCAAGUCGCGUGCAGGAAGAAUGUCCUAUGGAUUGUAAACUGCUUUUGCAGGGGAAUAAAGUGCAUCACGUGUGAUGUUUUGUAUGUACUCUGCGAAUAAGGAUCGGCUAACUCCGUGCCAGCCGCCGC